UCCUGUUACUAAUUUCAAUUG
This 21-nucleotide non-coding RNA is filed under the name Caenorhabditis elegans. The record is from RNAcentral. Lineage: Eukaryota; Metazoa; Nematoda; Chromadorea; Rhabditida; Rhabditidae.